CCCUUAGAUGUUCUGGGCCGCACGCGCGCUACACUGACGGAUUCAACGAGCUUACAACCUUGGCCGAAAGGUCUGGGUAAUCUCCAAAAUCCGUCGUGAUGGGGAUAGAUUAUUGCAAUUAUUAAUCUUCAACGAGGAAUGCCUAGUAAGCGCAAGUCAUCAGCUUGCGUUGAUUACGUCCCUGCCCUUUGUACACACCGCCCGUCGCUCCUACCGAUUGAAUGGUCCGGUGAAGCGUUUGGACUAUGGUUUUCUGAUGGUCCGCCGUUGGCUUACCGUGGGAAGUUCGUUAAACCUUAUCAUUUAGAGGAAGGAGAAGUCGUAACA
RNAcentral lists this ribosomal RNA (327 nucleotides) under uncultured eukaryote. RNAcentral describes it as "partial 18S ribosomal RNA". It matches the Rfam family "Eukaryotic small subunit ribosomal RNA", at positions 1470 to 1796 of the family's 1831-position model. The record is from RNAcentral.